GAUAGCUAUCAACGAACAUUGACGGUUCUCUCCAGAAUAAAAAGCGCUAUCAGUGGUGGAAGUUUGACAUCCACCAAUGACCUCAUGGUUACGCUGGUAUGUGGUUCUGAUCUGCUAGAAUCUUUCAGCACACCUGGUGUUUGGAUACCUGAGCAGGUCAGGGCCAUAUGUAGAGACUUCGGCUUGGUUUGUAUCCGAAGAAGUGG
Molecule: unclassified non-coding RNA, 206 nt
Filed under: Hevea brasiliensis (rubber tree)
Lineage: Eukaryota; Viridiplantae; Streptophyta; Magnoliopsida; Malpighiales; Euphorbiaceae
Source: RNAcentral